UACGUAGGUGGCAAGCGUUGUCCGGAUUUACUGGGUGUAAAGGGAGCGUAGGCGGCAGGGCAAGCCUGAUGUGAAAGCCCGGGGCUCAACCCCGGGACUGCAUUGGGAACUGCCCUGCUGGAGUGCCGGAGGGGCAGGCGGAAUUCCUAGUGUAGCGGUGAAAUGCGUAGAUAUUAGGAGGAACACCAGUGGCGAAGGCGGCCUGCUGGACGGUGACUGACGCUGAGGCUCGAAAGCGUGGGGAGCAAACAGG
This 253-nucleotide ribosomal RNA is filed under the name uncultured bacterium. RNAcentral describes it as "partial 16S ribosomal RNA". It matches the Rfam family "Bacterial small subunit ribosomal RNA", at positions 524 to 776 of the family's 1533-position model. The record is from RNAcentral.